Molecule: ribosomal RNA, 427 nt
Filed under: uncultured bacterium
Lineage: Bacteria
Description: partial 16S ribosomal RNA
Rfam family: Bacterial small subunit ribosomal RNA
Source: RNAcentral
UGGGGAAUAUUGCACAAUGGGCGCAAGCCUGAUGCAGCCAUGCCGCGUGUAUGAAGAAGGCCUUCGGGUUGUAAAGUACUUUCAGCGGGGAGGAAGGUGUUGAGGUUAAUAACCUCAGCAAUUGACGUUACCCGCAGAAGAAGCACCAGCUAACUCCGUGCCAGCAGCCGCGGUAAUACGGAGGGUGCAAGCGUUAAUCGGAGUUACUGGGCGUAAAGCGCACGCAGGCGGUCUGUCAAGUCGGAUGUGAAAUCCCCGGGCUCAACCUGGGAACUGCAUUCGAAACUGGCAGGCUAGAGUCUUGUAGAGGGGGGUAGAAUUCCAGGUGUAGCGGUGAAAUGCGUAGAGAUCUGGAGGAAUACCGGUGGCGAAGGCGGCCCCCUGGACAAAGACUGACGCUCAGGUGCGAAAGCGUGGGGAGCAAACA